RNAcentral lists this ribosomal RNA (951 nucleotides) under Triticum aestivum (bread wheat). RNAcentral describes it as "partial small subunit ribosomal RNA". Lineage: Eukaryota; Viridiplantae; Streptophyta; Magnoliopsida; Poales; Poaceae. The record is from RNAcentral.
AUGGGAGACCUCCACCUACGACUGAACCAGACACAGAGGGUCCGCCUCGAGGCCGCACUCCACGAGCUCCAGGCCCUCGCCCCCGCCGCCGCCGCCGUCACCUUCGCCGACAACAUCCCCGUCAACCCCGAGGACACCAUCCUCAAGGGGCAUGGCACGUCUGAUCAGGACGGGGAGGUUGUGGCGACGGUGUGCGGCGUGGUGGAGCGGGUCCAGAAUCUCGUCUGCGUGAGGACGCUCCGGGCAAGGUAUAAGCCACAGAAAGGGGAUAUCAUUAUUGGCCGUGUCAGUGAGAUUGCUUCUAAGCGCUGGAGGUUGGAGACAAACUUUAGCCAAGGUGCUGUUCUGAUGCUUUCUUCUAUGAAUUUGCCUGAUGGAAUCCAGAGACGGAGAACUGAUGUUGAUGAACUUAAUAUGCGGAGUAUACUUGAAGAAAAUGACCUUGUCUGUGCUGAAGUUUGUCAUAUCCAACACGAUGGAUCUCUUGACCUACAGCCAAGGAGUCAGAAAUAUGGAAAGCUUCAGAGGGGUCAGUUGCUCACAGUACCUGCCUAUUUGGUAAAACGGCGAAAGCAGCAUUUCCAUCAUCUUGAGCAAUAUGAUGCCGAUUUGAUUCUCGGUUGCAAUGGAUUCGUCUGGGUAGGCGAGCAUGCCGUGGUGGAUGAAGAGACUAAUUCGAACGAAGAUCAACAUAAGUUGAGCAUGGAAGUGGAGGCUUUUACCCCACUAGAAACUAGAAGGCACAUUUGCCGGCUUGCCAAUGCCGUGCGCGUGCUUUCAGCCCUUGGAUUCACCCUUACUGUCGAACUGAUAAUCCAAACCGCUGAAGCAGGUCUAUCAUCAGACGUCGAGAUAAACAACAUGCUCGGAGCUGAAUUUUAUGUCCAGACAGCGGAGAGAGAGGCCAAGCGUCGAGCCGAUCUCUCAAGAAGGAUGAACGGGCCAAGGUAA